This 305-nucleotide long non-coding RNA is filed under the name Elaeis guineensis (African oil palm). RNAcentral describes it as "long non-coding RNA (EGUI_LNC016131)". Lineage: Eukaryota; Viridiplantae; Streptophyta; Magnoliopsida; Arecales; Arecaceae. The record is from RNAcentral.
UUAGGGAGUCCUUUGAUUUAUUACUUUGAGUAGAGAUUUGAAAGCAUCAUCGGGCGAGCUGUUGAUCUCCGCGCAUUUCUCCGACUCCAUUUUUAGUUGGAAACCGGACCAGCAAGUGGUAAGUCAAGACUAUCACCCUGAGGGCGUUUAGUCCGGAUCUUUCAAGUAUGGCGUUGUAGGCCGAAGGUACUUGGACGAUCGUGAAUGUCAUGUGGACGGUGCUUUGUCAUGGUUCGGCCCCAGCUGUCACGGAAAGAGUAAUUUUUUCUUCCACCGCGAUGGCUUUUCCGACGAAACCCACUAAG